AAGGUAGGAGCCCACGUCUCCCUAGCUGCCCUCUAACUGCUGCAGGCUCCUCCUAGCCACUCCGAAUCCGAAACCGCUGUUCUCAUCACCAUCCCUUUCAUCCUACAUGCUGGGAGCAGCCCCUUGGCAAACCCCAUCGCUCCUCACGCCACCUUCCAGAAAGCUCCUGAGCCUCCAAGUCUGAGCUUGCUGGUGGCAUUGAGACACAAUGAAUGGCAGAAAAGCUCCCUUCCUAAGGAGUCGUUCCAGCCAGACGGGCAGAGCGUGCCCUGGCUGCAGGCUGGCACCGGGGGCUUUCGCUGUUUGGAAAGCACGGGGGCUGGUUACCACAGGUGAUCCAUCCAGCAGAUCCUGGCCCAAGGCCACAGUUAGCAAGCUCCAG
RNAcentral lists this long non-coding RNA (382 nucleotides) under Homo sapiens (human). Its description in RNAcentral is "HSALNT0164197". The record is from RNAcentral. Lineage: Eukaryota; Metazoa; Chordata; Mammalia; Primates; Hominidae.